ACCAAACUUGGAAUUAAUUAAAGUUUAGAACAACGUACAUAGUCCUAUUCAAAAGAUCGAAGAUUGCAAAAGCAAGCCCGACCCUAGAAAUUGAAAGUUGGGAAUCUGACAAGAAGAAGCAGCAAGCGAAUGGUGAUGGAGGCAUGGGAUGGAGUCGGCGGCGUCGCACACGAAAUGGAGGAAGAGUAGUAUCAGGAUGUUUAUGGGCGGCACCAAUUGAUGCUGUCGGGAUGCCGCAAGCGUCGGAGGGGACGAAGUGGCGUUUGGAUGGGGUUGGAGACAUGGGAAGGAGGCGGCGACAAUCUGGCUGCUGGUGGAGAACACAAUGAAGGAGCAGGACUAGAAGAGUAUCGGGGUGGACCAAUUAAAUUAAAAGAUCGAAUACAAAAUAAAAGAGAGUUUUAAAUACCUAUAAUACCCCUCCAGUGGUCGUUGUCCAAUCAGAGGAAGCCAACGCUGAAUGGAUUCCAUUGAAAGCAUACCCUAAAACCAGAAUAAUAAACUAAAUCCCCCAUUCAAAAAUAUCUAACAAACCCGUCUAUGGCCAGCCACCGAACCUGAGGACGUGUACCAAUAAAAAUAAAAAUAAAGAUGAUAAAAGCGAAGCCAAGUGGUCCCCUCGAAAUUAAAAUAUCACGUGUCCUCACGAUAUUUGCCACGUUAUCCCCAAAAAAGUUGGUUAUCACUCAAUCCCAUUUAUAUAUUACGGUAAAAUGGUAAAUAAAACCACCAUACUCCCCCAAAUAAGAAACAUAACAGAACUCAGAACAAAAUACAAAGCCCACUGACCUUUCCUCUUUCGGCUCUUGCUUCCUCCAUCGACCAAUAAGUGGCCGGCGCCGCCGAAUUUAU
Molecule: long non-coding RNA, 852 nt
Filed under: Linum usitatissimum (flax)
Lineage: Eukaryota; Viridiplantae; Streptophyta; Magnoliopsida; Malpighiales; Linaceae
Description: long non-coding RNA (LUSI_LNC006693)
Source: RNAcentral